CCUACGGGUGGCAGCAGUGAGGAAUAUUGGUCAAUGGACGGAAGCCUGAACCAGCCAAGUCGCGUGAGGGAUUAAGGCCCUGCGGGUCGUAAACCGCUUUUGCCCGGGGGCAAACGUCCGGACGUGUCCGGGCCGGGAAAGUACCCGGAGAAAAAGCAUCGGCUAACUCCGGGCAAGCAGCCGCGGUAAUACGGGGGAUGCGAGCGUUAUCCGGAUUUAUGGGGUUUAAGGGGUGCGUAGGCGGGCAUUUAAGUCGGCGGGCAAAUGUCGGGGCUCAACUCCGGACUGCCGGUGGAACUGGUCGCCUUGAGAGGGCGUGAGGUAUGCGGAAUGUGUGGUGUAGCGGUGAAAUGCAUAGAGAUCACACAGAACCCCGAUUGCGAAGGCAGCAUACCGGCGCCCUUCUGACGCUGAGGCACGAAAGUGCGGGGAGCGAACAGGAUUAGAUACCCCGGUAGUC
RNAcentral lists this ribosomal RNA (460 nucleotides) under uncultured bacterium. RNAcentral describes it as "partial 16S ribosomal RNA". It matches the Rfam family "Bacterial small subunit ribosomal RNA", at positions 338 to 795 of the family's 1533-position model. The record is from RNAcentral.